GAGUUUGAUUCUGGCUCAGGAUGAACGCUGGCGGUAUGCUUAACACAUGCAAGUCGAACGGGACCUUUAGGGGUUCAGUGGCGGACGGGUGAGUAACGCGUGAGAAUCGGCCCUCAGGUUGGGGACAACCAUUGGAAACGAUGGCUAAUACCGAAUAAGCCGAAAGGUGAAAGAUUAAUUGCCUGGGGAAGAGCUCGCGUCUGAUUAGCUAGUUGGUGGGGUAAAGGCCUACCAAGGCACCGAUCAGUAACUGGUCUGAGAGGAUGGCCAGUCACACUGGGACUGAGACACGGCCCAGACUCCUACGGGAGGCAGCAGUGGGGAAUUUUCCGCAAUGGGCGAAAGCCUGACGGAGCAAUACCGCGUGGGGGAGGAAGGCUCUUGGGUCGUAAACCUCUUUUCUCAGGGAAGAAUUAAUUGACGGUACCUGAGGAAUAAGCAUCGGCUAACUCCGUGCCAGCAGCCGCGGUAAU
This 473-nucleotide ribosomal RNA is filed under the name uncultured Nostocales cyanobacterium. Its description in RNAcentral is "bacterial SSU rRNA". It matches the Rfam family "Bacterial small subunit ribosomal RNA", at positions 9 to 524 of the family's 1533-position model. Lineage: Bacteria; Bacillati; Cyanobacteriota; Cyanophyceae; Nostocales. The record is from RNAcentral.